UGCCUUGCAGGUUCCUCUCUCAUCCCGUGACCUUGUCACGGUUUGGGCACACCCUGGUGGCUCCCAACACCUAGAGAAGGGAAUGGAAACUCACUCCAGCAUUCUUGCCUGGAGAAUUCCAUGGGCAGAGGAGCCUGGCGGGAUUACAGUCCAAGGGGUCACAAAGAGUCGGACAUGACUGAGUGACUUUCACUUUCUUUUUGCAGUUUGGAUCUACAAAAAGGCUGAAAGUGCCACCUACGGUCCACUCCGUAGAAAUGCCCAAAGAAUGUAGUCUGAGCCUUAUGGACUGAGAGUCACAGGAACUAGGAAUUUAAGGCUGAUUUAGUUAACGACACCCCUGGUGAGAAGACUAAUGAAGACAAAAGAAAUCAGAAAUCUGAAGAUCUUUGGGAACUCCGUGCUCAUGAUGUAAAUGGCGAGACGUGCAUGAAGGUUCUUAGCCAGGGGUCCUCACAGGAUUUUCCAGGCCCUGUUACAGGUCAACAGGGAACCAGGUAGUGAGUGUCGGGGCAAAGCCCCCAGGCUGAGGCCAGGCCGGGUCUCCCGCCAGUCUCCUUCCUUCCGUGCACCACGAGUGCAAGCGAGUGUUAUCACUUCUCCUACAGAAUGAAGGUGUGUGUUGCAGGAAAGCUGGAGUGAACUCUCUAGUGACAUAAAUUUAAAACUACAGCAAGAGGGAGAUGGAGGGAGGGAGACAGAUAAACAGAUAUGAUGUGCCCUGGCUUUAGUCUAUAGUGCAAAAUUUAUGAAAACAGAAAAUGAUAUUAAAACCGGUUAGUCUUCA
Dama dama (fallow deer) is the source of this 787-nucleotide long non-coding RNA. RefSeq lists it as uncharacterized. The transcript has 3 exons. Lineage: Eukaryota; Metazoa; Chordata; Mammalia; Artiodactyla; Cervidae. The record is from RefSeq and is a predicted model, not a curated record.